AAAUGCACGAAAAAUUCUUGCUGUGCCUGAACAAGACUUUAAUUGCCUCCAGGGAACAAAGAGGAAGAAACUGAGCAGCCGUAAAGAUGAUGACAGUGCCAGUUUGGGAGAAGUGAGUGACAAAAUAGAAGAGUUGGUGUUGGCAUCUCAAAGUCUGCCAGCUGUCACAGCA
Long non-coding RNA from Oreochromis niloticus (Nile tilapia), 172 nucleotides. RefSeq lists it as uncharacterized. The record is from RefSeq and is a predicted model, not a curated record. Lineage: Eukaryota; Metazoa; Chordata; Actinopteri; Cichliformes; Cichlidae. The transcript is spliced from 2 exons.